This 498-nucleotide ribosomal RNA is filed under the name uncultured soil bacterium. Its description in RNAcentral is "bacterial SSU rRNA". It matches the Rfam family "Bacterial small subunit ribosomal RNA", at positions 26 to 522 of the family's 1533-position model. The record is from RNAcentral.
AGAUUGAACGCUGGCGGUAGGCCUAACACAUGCAAGUCGAGCGCGAAAGUGCCUUCGGGUGCGAGUAGAGCGGCGGACGGGUGCGUAACGCGUAGGAAUCUGCCUGGUAGUGGGGGAUAACUCGGGGGAAACUCGAGCUAAUACCGCAUACGCCCCAUGGGGGAAAGCGGGGGGACCUUCGGGCCUCGCGCUAUCAGAUGAGCCUGCGUCGGAUUAGCUAGUUGGUAGGGUAAUGGCCUACCAAGGCGACGAUCCGUAGCUGGUCUGAGAGGAUGAUCAGCCACACUGGGACUGAGACACGGCCCAGACUCCUACGGAAGGCAGCAGUGGGGAAUAUUGGACAAUGGGGGCAACCCUGAUCCAGCCAUACCGCGUGUGUGAAGAAGGCCUUGGGUUGUAAAGCACUUCAGUGGGAGGAAAGUUGCCGGCGAAGUACCCGGCGACCGUGACGCUACCUGCAGAAGAAGCACCGCAAACUCCGCGCCAGCAGCCGCGUAA